GCGGGUGUAGCUCAGCUGGUAGAGCGCUACCUUGCCAAGGUAGUUGUCGACGGUUCGAUCCCGUUCACCCGCUCCA
RNAcentral lists this transfer RNA (76 nucleotides) under Omnitrophica WOR_2 bacterium RIFCSPHIGHO2_01_FULL_49_10. RNAcentral describes it as "tRNA-Gly". It matches the Rfam family "tRNA". From Rfam's summary of the family: Transfer RNA (tRNA) molecules are approximately 80 nucleotides in length. Their secondary structure includes four short double-helical elements and three loops (D, anti-codon, and T loops). RNAcentral also lists the same sequence under 3 other names. The record is from RNAcentral. Lineage: Bacteria; Pseudomonadati; Candidatus Omnitrophota.